Molecule: ribosomal RNA, 1198 nt
Filed under: Pseudaspius hakonensis (big-scaled redfin)
Lineage: Eukaryota; Metazoa; Chordata; Actinopteri; Cypriniformes; Leuciscidae
Description: partial 16S ribosomal RNA
Rfam family: Bacterial large subunit ribosomal RNA
Source: RNAcentral
CCCGAAACCAGGUGAGCUACCCCGAGACAGCCUAUGUUAAUUUAGGGCUAACCCGUCUCUGUGGCAAAAGAGUGGGAAGAGCUCCGGGUAGAAGUGACAGACCUACCGAACCUGGUGAUAGCUGGUUGCCUGAAAAAUGGAUAGAAGUUCAGCCUCGCACCCCCCGAUCCAACAAAUAUAUCGUCAAGAUGCUCAGAGAGACAUGCGAGAGUUAGUUAAAAGGGGUACAGCCCUUUUAACAAAGGAUACAACCUUCACAGGAGGAUAAAGAUCAUAAUAUAUAAGAUAUACUGUUCUAGUGGGCCUGAAAGCAGCCACCUAAGCAGAAAGCGUUAAAGCUCGGACAGAGAGAAAUUUAUUAUACUGAUAAGAAAUCUUAUUCCCCUAACUGUAUCAGGCCAACCCAUGCCCCCAUGGAAGAGAUUAUGCUAAAAUGAGUAAUAAGAAGACACGCUCUUCUCCCGGCACACGUGUAAACCAGAUCGGACCGACCACUGGAACUUAACGAACCCAACCCAAGAGGGUAGUGUGAUUAAUAUAAACCUCAAGAAGACCUCACACCAACUGAUCGUUAACCCCACACUGGAGUGCUAUUUCAAGGGAAAGACUAAAAGAGGAGGAAGGAACUCGGCAAACACAAGCCUCGCCUGUUUACCAAAAACAUCGCCUCCUGCAACUAGACUGAGUAUAGGAGGUCCAGCCUGCCCAGUGACUACGGGUUCAACGGCCGCGGUAUCUUGACCGUGCAAAGGUAGCGCAAUCACUUGUCUCUUAAAUAGAGACCUGUAUGAAUGGCUAGACGAGGGCUUAACUGUCUCCCCCCUCCAGUCAGUGAAAUUGAUCUAUCCGUGCAGAAGCGGGUAUAAAUAUACAAGACGAGAAGACCCUUUGGAGCUUAAGGUACAAAAUUCAACCACGUUAAACAACCCCAUAAAAGGCAAGAACUUAGUAGCAAUGAAAUUUUACCUUCGGUUGGGGCGACCGCGGAGGAAAAACAAGCCUCCGAGUGGACUGGGCCAAACCCCUGAAGCCAAAAGAAACAUCUAGAAGCCGCAGAAUAUCUGACCAAAAAUGAUCCGGCUAAAAGCCGAUCAACGAACCAAGUUACCCAAGGGAUAACAGCGCAAUCCCCUCCCAGAGCCCGUAUCGACGAGGGGGUUUACGACCUCGAUGUUGGAUCAGGACAUCCUAAUGGUGC